RNAcentral lists this ribosomal RNA (465 nucleotides) under uncultured bacterium. RNAcentral's name for it is "partial 16S ribosomal RNA". It matches the Rfam family "Bacterial small subunit ribosomal RNA", at positions 338 to 795 of the family's 1533-position model. The record is from RNAcentral.
CCUACGGGUGGCAGCAGUAGGGAAUCUUCCACAAUGGGCGAAAGCCUGAUGGAGCAACGCCGCGUGGGUGAAGAAGGUCUUCGGAUCGUAAAACCCUGUUGUUAGAGAAGAAAGUGCGUGAGAGUAACUGUUCACGUAUCGACGGUAUCAAACCAGAAAGCCACGGCUAACUACGUGCCAGCAGCCGCGGGAAUACGUAGGUGGCAAGCGUUAUCCGGAUUGAUGGGGCGUAAAGGGAACGCAGGCGGUCUUUUAAGUAUGAUGUGAAAGCCUUCGGCUUAACCGUAGUAGUGCAUUGGAUACUGGGAGACUUGAGUGCAUAAGAGGAGAGUGGAACUCCAUGUGUAGCGGUGAAAUGCGUAGAUAUAUGGAAGAACACCAAUGGCGAAAGCGGCUCUCUGAUCUGUAACUGACACUGAGGUUCGAAAGCGUGGGUAGCAAACAGGAUUAGAUACCCUUGUAGUC